GGUUAAGCGACUAAGCGUACACGGUGGAUGCCCUGGCAGUCAGAGGCGAUGAAGGACGUGCUAAUCUGCGAUAAGCGUCGGUAAGGUGAUAUGAACCGUUAUAACCGGCGAUUUCCGAAUGGGGAAACCCAGUGUGAUUCGUCACACUAUCAUUAACUGAAUCCAUAGGUUAAUGAGGCGAACCGGGGGAACUGAAACAUCUAAGUACCCCGAGGAAAAGAAAUCAACCGAGAUUCCCCCAGUAGCGGCGAGCGAACGGGGAGCAGCCCAGAGCCUGAAUCAGUGUGUGUGUUAGUGGAAGCGUCUGGAAAGGCGCGCGAUACAGGGUGACAGCCCCGUACACAAAAAUGCACAUACUGUGAGCUCGAUGAGUAGGGCGGGACACGUGGUAUCCUGUCUGAAUAUGGGGGGACCAUCCUCCAAGGCUAAAUACUCCUGACUGACCGAUAGUGAACCAGUACCGUGAGGGAAAGGCGAAAAGAACCCCGGCGAGGGGAGUGAAAAAGAACCUGAAACCGUGUACGUACAAGCAGUGGGAGCCUCUUUAUGGGGUGACUGCGUACCUUUUGUAUAAUGGGUCAGCGACUUAUAUUCUGUAGCAAGGUUAACCGAAUAGGGGAGCCGAAGGGAAACCGAGUCUUAACUGGGCGUUAAGUUGCAGGGUAUAGACCCGAAACCCGGUGAUCUAGCCAUGGGCAGGUUGAAGGUUGGGUAACACUAACUGGAGGACCGAACCGACUAAUGUUGAAAAAUUAGCGGAUGACUUGUGGCUGGGGGUGAAAGGCCAAUCAAACCGGGAGAUAGCUGGUUCUCCCCGAAAGCUAUUUAGGUAGCGCCUCGUGAAUUCAUCUCCGGGGGUAGAGCACUGUUUCGGCAAGGGGGUCAUCCCGACUUACCAACCCGAUGCAAACUGCGAAUACCGGAGAAUGUUAUCACGGGAGACACACGGCGGGUGCUAACGUCCGUCGUGAAGAGGGAAACAACCCAGACCGCCAGCUAAGGUCCCAAAGUCAUGGUUAAGUGGGAAACGAUGUGGGAAGGCCCAGACAGCCAGGAUGUUGGCUUAGAAGCAGCCAUCAUUUAAAGAAAGCGUAAUAGCUCACUGGUCGAGUCGGCCUGCGCGGAAGAUGUAACGGGGCUAAACCAUGCACCGAAGCUGCGGCAGCGACGCUUAUGCGUUGUUGGGUAGGGGAGCGUUCUGUAAGCCUGCGAAGGUGUACUGUGAGGUAUGCUGGAGGUAUCAGAAGUGCGAAUGCUGACAUAAGUAACGAUAAAGCGGGUGAAAAGCCCGCUCGCCGGAAGACCAAGGGUUCCUGUCCAACGUUAAUCGGGGCAGGGUGAGUCGACCCCUAAGGCGAGGCCGAAAGGCGUAGUCGAUGGGAAACAGGUUAAUAUUCCUGUACUUGGUGUUACUGCGAAGGGGGGACGGAGAAGGCUAUGUUGGCCGGGCGACGGUUGUCCCGGUUUAAGCGUGUAGGCUGGUUUUCCAGGUAAAUCCGGAAAAUCAAGGCUGAGGCGUGAUGACGAGGCACUACGGUGCUGAAGCAACAAAUGCCCUGCUUCCAGGAAAAGCCUCUAAGCAUCAGGUAACAUUAAAUCGUACCCCAAACCGACACAGGUGGUCAGGUAGAGAAUACCAAGGCGCUUGAGAGAACUCGGGUGAAGGAACUAGGCAAAAUGGUGCCGUAACUUCGGGAGAAGGCACGCUGAUAUGUAGGUGAAGCGACUUGCUCGUGGAGCUGAAAUCAGUCGAAGAUACCAGCUGGCUGCAACUGUUUAUUAAAAACACAGCACUGUGCAAACACGAAAGUGGACGUAUACGGUGUGACGCCUGCCCGGUGCCGGAAGGUUAAUUGAUGGGGUUAGCGGUAACGCGAAGCUCUUGAUCGAAGCCCCGGUAAACGGCGGCCGUAACUAUAACGGUCCUAAGGUAGCGAAAUUCCUUGUCGGGUAAGUUCCGACCUGCACGAAUGGCGUAAUGAUGGCCAGGCUGUCUCCACCCGAGACUCAGUGAAAUUGAACUCGCUGUGAAGAUGCAGUGUACCCGCGGCAAGACGGAAAGACCCCGUGAACCUUUACUAUAGCUUGACACUGAACAUUGAGCCUUGAUGUGUAGGAUAGGUGGGAGGCUUUGAAGUGUGGACGCCAGUCUGCAUGGAGCCGACCUUGAAAUACCACCCUUUAAUGUUUGAUGUUCUAACGUAGGCCCCUUAUCGGGGUUGCGGACAGUGUCUGGUGGGUAGUUUGACUGGGGCGGUCUCCUCCUAAAGAGUAACGGAGGAGCACGAAGGUUGGCUAAUCCUGGUCGGACAUCAGGAGGUUAGUGCAAUGGCAUAAGCCAGCUUGACUGCGAGCGUGACGGCGCGAGCAGGUGCGAAAGCAGGUCAUAGUGAUCCGGUGGUUCUGAAUGGAAGGGCCAUCGCUCAACGGAUAAAAGGUACUCCGGGGAUAACAGGCUGAUACCGCCCAAGAGUUCAUAUCGACGGCGGUGUUUGGCACCUCGAUGUCGGCUCAUCACAUCCUGGGGCUGAAGUAGGUCCCAAGGGUAUGGCUGUUCGCCAUUUAAAGUGGUACGCGAGCUGGGUUUAGAACGUCGUGAGACAGUUCGGUCCCUAUCUGCCGUGGGCGCU
This 2630-nucleotide ribosomal RNA is filed under the name Escherichia coli. RNAcentral's name for it is "partial 23S ribosomal RNA". It matches the Rfam family "Bacterial large subunit ribosomal RNA". Lineage: Bacteria; Pseudomonadati; Pseudomonadota; Gammaproteobacteria; Enterobacterales; Enterobacteriaceae. The record is from RNAcentral.